AUGAUGGUUUUCAAGAAAGAAAGGGAGUUGCUUCAAGUUGCCCUAAAGGAUGUGGACUUCAUUAGUCUAACAACCGACUUGUGGACUAGCAACCAGACCAUAUCAUAUAUGUGUGUGGUUGCACACUUUAUAGAUAAGGAUUGGAAGAUGCAAACACGUGUUCUUUCUUUCAUAGAUUUGGAUCCUCCUCACUCCGGGCAUGUGAUUUUAGAUGCUAUCUAUGAGUGUGUGACUGAAUGGAAGAUAGAGAAGAAAAUUAUAUCCAUCACACUAGACAAUGCUACAAACAAUGAUGUUGCGGUCAGAGGUUUGAAGGCAAAGUUUGCUGUUCGGAGAGGUAUGGACUUUGAAGCCAAAUAUUUCCAUGUCCGUUGUUGUGCACACAUUAUCAACUUGGUGGUGCAAGAUGGGACAACCAUCAUGGCCCCUUUGAUAGAGAAUUUGAGAGAGACGGUUAAGUAUUUCAAGAAGUCACCGAGUCGCCUCCACAAGUUUGUUGAGACUUGCAAAAUAUUGGGUGUUGAGGUUGGCAACCAUUUGCAUCUUGAUUGUGUCACGCGGUGGAGUUCAACGUACCGGAUGCUUGAUACAGCCUGCCCGUAUAGGGAAGCCUUGUCCUCUUAUGCAGCUUCAAAUGCCAACUACCAAUGGGAGCUGGAAAAAGAAGAAUGGGACAAGUUUGAAGUUAUUAAGCCAUUGCUCCUCUCUUUAUCUCGUGUGACAACUGUGUUUUCAGGGCAAUUAUAUCCCACCUCCAACAUAUUCUACCCUCGCAUUGUCAGCAUCAAGAUUGCUUUGAGAAAAGCCAUGGCUCAUGAUGAUGAAUGCUACAAGAAAAUGGGCGAUGCAAUGAUGGAUAAAUUUGACAAGUAUUGGGAUGAGCCGAACAAUGUCAUGGUGCUUGCUACCAUCUUGGACCCAAGGUACAAGAUGAGGGUGAAUGCACCUAGAUACCCCAUAUUGGCAAUGAUGGCAAAGAGGUUCUUGACUGUCCCGGCUACCUCCAUGUCUUCGGAAUCAACUUUUAGCAUGGGUGGAAGAGUUUUAGAUGACUACAGGAGUUCUUUGAAACCAGAAAUGGUGGAAGCCUUGGUGUGCGGUGCUAGUUAUAUCAAAGGUUCUCACAAGGACUUCAAUGUGGUGUUUUCGCUAGUCAUUGUUUCGCUGUCAACAUUUUCUCAGUUUUUAUGUCAAAGUGUGGCUGCAAAAAAAAUCAAGACUGGACUAUAUACAGAGGUUCUGUACUUCUGGGGGCAAAUGGCUUGCGAGCCAGCUCGGUCUGAGCCAAGCCGCCUGAAGUCGGCUUGUUGGCUGAGCGAGCCGAGCCGAGCCGAGCCGCUCCAGAGCGAGCCAAAGCCAGGCUCGGAUCAAGCUCGGCUCGGCUCGGCUCGUGUCCAGUCCUACUUGCAGAACUCUGACUUGGCGGCCGCCUCCCUGGGCAGCAGCGUCACGAGGAGGAGCACGCACAGCGCGGCCAUGGUGGCCGCCCCCUUCAGCUUCUUCGCCUCCAUCUCCUUCCUCGCGCAAGCUAUGGGCUAUGGCUUCUUCUUCUUCGGGAUCAGGGAGUGGAGACAAGUGCUAUGCAUCAAGCAUCGUAUUUCGCUGUUUUUCGGAAAUUGGGACGGGCACGAUUUUCCCUAG
This 1641-nucleotide ribosomal RNA is filed under the name Triticum aestivum (bread wheat). Its description in RNAcentral is "partial small subunit ribosomal RNA". Lineage: Eukaryota; Viridiplantae; Streptophyta; Magnoliopsida; Poales; Poaceae. The record is from RNAcentral.